GACGAACGCUGGCGGCGUGCUUAACACAUGCAAGUCGAACGGAAAGGCCCUGCUUUUGUGGGGUGCUCGAGUGGCGAACGGGUGAGUAACACGUGAGUAACCUGCCCUUGACUUUGGGAUAACUUCAGGAAACUGGGGCUAAUACCGGAUAGGAGCUCCUGCUGCAUGGUGGGGGUUGGAAAGUUUCGGCGGUUGGGGCUGGACUCGCGGCUUAUCAGCUUGUUGGUGGGGUAGUGGCUUACCAAGGCUUUGACGGGUAGCCGGCCUGAGAGGGUGACCGGCCACAAUGCGACUGAGAGACGGAGCAGACUGCUACGGGACGCAGCAGUGGGGAAUCUUGCGCAAUGAGCGGGAGCCUGAUGCAGCAACGUCGCGUGCGGGAUGCCGGCCUUCGGGUUGUAAACAGCUUUCGCCUGUGACGAAGCGUGAGUGACGGUAAUGGGUAAAGAAGCACCGGCUAACUACGUG
Molecule: ribosomal RNA, 468 nt
Filed under: uncultured bacterium
Lineage: Bacteria
Description: partial 16S ribosomal RNA
Rfam family: Bacterial small subunit ribosomal RNA
Source: RNAcentral